AUACGGAGGGUGCAAGCGUUGUUCGGAAUCACUGGGCGUAAAGGGCGCGCAGGCGGUUUGGUAAGUCAGAUGUGAAAGCCCACGGCUCAACCGUGGAAGUGCAUUUGAAACUGUCAGACUUGAGUACUAGAGGGGAAAGUGGAAUUCCCGGUGUAGAGGUGAAAUUCGUAGAUAUCGGGAGGAAUACCGGUGGCGAAGGCGUCUUUCUGGCUAGAUACUGACGCUGAGGCGCGAAAGCGUGGGGAGCAAACAGGAUUAGAAACCCUAGUAGUCC
Molecule: ribosomal RNA, 274 nt
Filed under: uncultured bacterium
Lineage: Bacteria
Description: partial 16S ribosomal RNA
Rfam family: Bacterial small subunit ribosomal RNA
Source: RNAcentral